Molecule: long non-coding RNA, 158 nt
Organism: Homo sapiens (human)
Lineage: Eukaryota; Metazoa; Chordata; Mammalia; Primates; Hominidae
Source: Ensembl
GAAGCUCGAGUCAGUGUUCGGUUACCUACUCACUCUUCUGGUCUUUCUUUGCGAAGGAGAUUUGAGAAAGUCCAUGCAUGGGAGCAGGACAAAGAGAAAUAAUCUGAUCAUCCCUAAGAGGUUUCAAGAAUGAGCAAUUGCGUAAAGCUGAGUCCUGG